AUUGAACGCUGGCGACAUGCCUUACACAUGCAAGUCGAACGGCAGCACGGGUGCUUGCACCUGGUGGCGAGUGGCGAACGGGUGAGUAAUACAUCGGAACAUGUCCUGUAGUGGGGGAUAGCCCGGCGAAAGCCGGAUUAAUACCGCAUACGAUCUACGGAUGAAAGCGGGGGACCUUCGGGCCUCGCGCUAUAGGGUUGGCCGAUGGCUGAUUAGCUAGUUGGUGGGGUAAAGGCCUACCAAGGCGACGAUCAGUAGCUGGUCUGAGAGGACGACCAGCCACACUGGGACUGAGACACGGCCCAGACUCCUACGGAGGCAGCAGUGGGGAAUUUUGGACAAAGGGCGAAAGCCUGAUCCAGCAAUGCCGCGUGUGUGAAGAAGGCCUUCGGGUUGUAAAGCACUUUUGUCCGGAAAGAAAUCCUUGGCCCUAAUACGGUCGGGGGAUGACGGUACCGGAAGAAUAAGCACCGGCUAACUACGUG
Molecule: ribosomal RNA, 485 nt
Filed under: uncultured bacterium
Lineage: Bacteria
Description: partial 16S ribosomal RNA
Rfam family: Bacterial small subunit ribosomal RNA
Source: RNAcentral